UCCCUUCGGGGUGCGUUUGGGGAAGCUUAGCGGCGGACGGGUGAGUAACGCGUGAGUAACCUGCCCAUAAGAGGGGGAUAACACAGAGAAAUUUGUGCUAAUACCGCAUAUUGAUAUCGAGCGGCAUCGUUUGAUAUUGAAAGAUUUAUCGCUUAUGGAUGGACUCGCGUCUGAUUAGAUAGUUGGCAGGGUAACGGCCUACCAAGUCGACGAUCAGUAGCCGAACUGAGAGGUUGAUCGGCCACAUUGGGACUGAGACACGGCCCAGACUCC
This 273-nucleotide ribosomal RNA is filed under the name uncultured Bacillota bacterium. RNAcentral's name for it is "uncultured Firmicutes bacterium partial 16S ribosomal RNA". It matches the Rfam family "Bacterial small subunit ribosomal RNA", at positions 75 to 339 of the family's 1533-position model. Lineage: Bacteria; Bacillati; Bacillota. The record is from RNAcentral.